AGCACUUAUCGGCUGUUGUACUUUAGUGUAGGUAUAAACAUAAAAUAAGUGCUAAGAUAGAAACCUUCUCUUGCAACCCACAACAAAUUGAUUUGUAUAUGUUGUGUUACUUACGGGAAGGGACAAC
Small nucleolar RNA from Spea bombifrons (plains spadefoot toad), 127 nucleotides. RefSeq annotates it as small nucleolar RNA SNORA40. The transcript has a single exon. The record is from RefSeq and is a predicted model, not a curated record. Lineage: Eukaryota; Metazoa; Chordata; Amphibia; Anura; Pelobatidae.